GCCGACGUAGCCCAAUUGGCUGAGGCGCCGUCUUCAGGAGGCGGUCCGCGUAAGCGGGUGCGGGUUCGAGUCCCGCCGUCGGCA
This 84-nucleotide transfer RNA is filed under the name Chloroflexota bacterium. Its description in RNAcentral is "Chloroflexi bacterium tRNA-Leu". It matches the Rfam family "tRNA". Rfam says of the family: Transfer RNA (tRNA) molecules are approximately 80 nucleotides in length. Lineage: Bacteria; Bacillati; Chloroflexota. RNAcentral also lists the same sequence under 2 other names. The record is from RNAcentral.